This 497-nucleotide ribosomal RNA is filed under the name uncultured bacterium. RNAcentral's name for it is "partial 16S ribosomal RNA". It matches the Rfam family "Bacterial small subunit ribosomal RNA", at positions 28 to 507 of the family's 1533-position model. The record is from RNAcentral.
GACGAACGCUGGCGGCGUGCCUAAUACAUGCAAGUAGAACGCUGAAGAGAGGAGCUUGCUCUUCUUGGAUGAGUUGCGAACGGGUGAGUAACGCGUAGGUAACCUGCCUUGUAGCGGGGGAUAACUAUUGGAAACGAUAGCUAAUACCGCAUAACAAUGGAUGACACAUGUCAUUUAUUUGAAAGGGGCAAUUGUUCCACUACAAGAUGGACCUGCGUUGUAUUAGCUAGUAGGUGAGGUAAUGGCUCACCUAGGCGACGAUACAUAGCCGACCUGAGAGGGUGAUCGGCCACACUGGGACUGAGACACGGCCCAGACUCCUACGGGAGGCAGCAGUAGGGAAUCUUCGGCAAUGGGGGCAACCCUGACCGAGCAACGCCGCGUGAGUGAAGAAGGUUUUCGGAUCGUAAAGCUCUGUUGUAAGUCAAGAACGGGUGUGAGAGUGGAAAGUUCACACUGUGACGGUAGCUUACCAAAAAGGGAUGGCUAACUACGUG